RNAcentral lists this ribosomal RNA (253 nucleotides) under uncultured bacterium. RNAcentral describes it as "partial 16S ribosomal RNA". It matches the Rfam family "Bacterial small subunit ribosomal RNA", at positions 524 to 776 of the family's 1533-position model. The record is from RNAcentral.
UACGUAGGGUGCAAGCGUUGUCCGGAAUUAUUGGGCGUAAAGAGCUCGUAGGCGGCUUGUCGCGUCUGCUGUGAAAACGCGAGGCUCAACCUCGCGCCUGCAGUGGGUACGGGCAGACUAGAGUGCGGUAGGGGAGAUUGGAAUUCCUGGUGUAGCGGUGGAAUGCGCAGAUAUCAGGAGGAACACCGAUGGCGAAGGCAGAUCUCUGGGCCGUAACUGACGCUGAGGAGCGAAAGCGUGGGGAGCGAACAGG